ACCCUCCUGAUUCUUUACCCAUCAGAUCUAAACACCAGUCUGAGUGGUUAUUGGAGGAGAGAGAGUACAAUGGACGCACAAAUUCGUUGUGGACACCCCAUCUGGUUUAAAAAAAAA
This 117-nucleotide small nucleolar RNA is filed under the name Echinops telfairi (small Madagascar hedgehog). Its description in RNAcentral is "Small nucleolar RNA SNORA61 (ENSETEG00000026461.1)". Lineage: Eukaryota; Metazoa; Chordata; Mammalia; Afrosoricida; Tenrecidae. The record is from RNAcentral.